CGGACGGGUGAGUAAUGUCUGGGAAACUGCCUGAUGGAGGGGGAUAACUACUGGAAACGGUAGCUAAUACCGCAUAACGUCGCAAGACCAAAGAGGGGACCUUCGGGCCUCUUGCCAUCGGAUGUGCCCAGAUGGGAUUAGCUAGUAGGUGGGGUAAAGGCUCACCUAGGCGACGAUCCCUAGCUGGUCUGAGAGGAUGACCAGCCACACUGGAACUGAGACACGGUCCAG
Molecule: ribosomal RNA, 231 nt
Filed under: uncultured bacterium
Lineage: Bacteria
Description: partial 16S ribosomal RNA
Rfam family: Bacterial small subunit ribosomal RNA
Source: RNAcentral